UGGCUGGUGUUUAGGGUUUUGCUUUCUACAAAAUACAGGCUCGCUUGUAGGCUGGAGCUGCAGGACAGAUCCAGGUGACAGAGGGCCACGAGGAAGCUGGGUCCGGGAUCUGGCGCGGAAGAGAGACUACCGGAAGGGGCCAGACCGGCUAAGGCCUAUGCGGGCCACACCCGCCAUUCUACCAUUCUUCCAAUGGCUGCAAGAGUUACUCUUGGUGGGAUUGAGAAGAGCUGCCCGAAGCAGACCCAGAGCUACGUUCCCCCACCAAGCCAGAGAGCCUUUAGAACAGCGGCAGGCUUAUCUUCCCUGACAACAACGGAGUCCCUGGAAAUCUCAGCGACCUGAAUGAAGGUGGCAGCGAGCUGCGGAUGUAGCAGAGGGAAGGAAGAGGGGACAAAAGAAACAACUGUCUAGAUGUUUAAAUCGGAACCGUCAAUCCCUCCCAGAGGAGUCUGUUACUGUGAUCCCCCGGCACUACUUCCUUCCUGGCCCCUCAUUUCCAUGAGGGGACACCUGUGAACACAGGUCUGCAGGAGCCCUGUGUUGUUGGGACCCAGAAGAUGUUUCAGGGGGUGAGGUCAUGCCCUACUCAAGCCUGCCAUGUGAGGUACCUCUCUCCUUUAGGUCCGCAGGUGUUUGUCUACGCGUAUGUUCCACCCAUGUGGCUGAUCAUGCCUGCAGGCCUCUCUCUGUCUCUAAACUCAUGCCCGUUCCCCCCAGAGACAUGACUUCAGUCCCUGCUUUGUGGCCAGUGAGAUGACUUAUCAGGAAAUGGAGAUUGCUGUGUAAACCUGGCAACCCAAGACCAGUCUCUGGAACCCAUGAGAAGAAGGUAGAGGAGAGAUCCAGCAACACAACUUUGUCCUCUGACUGACCGCCAUGAAUGUUGUGGCAUGGGCACCUAGCCACACCCAAAAAUAAAUGAAUGAAACAACAA
Non-coding RNA from Peromyscus maniculatus bairdii (prairie deer mouse), 937 nucleotides. NCBI's taxonomy places the organism in Eukaryota, Metazoa, Chordata, Mammalia, Rodentia, Cricetidae. The record is from RefSeq and is a predicted model, not a curated record.